This 529-nucleotide long non-coding RNA is filed under the name Panax ginseng (ginseng). RNAcentral describes it as "long non-coding RNA (PGIN_LNC013575)". The record is from RNAcentral. Lineage: Eukaryota; Viridiplantae; Streptophyta; Magnoliopsida; Apiales; Araliaceae.
UGGUGUUGGUGGUGGUGGAGACUUGUACUUGUAGACUGGUGGUGGUGGUGAUUUAUAGUGGUAAUGAGGUGGAUGAGAGUGCACUGAGGGAGGUGGUGGUGGUGACUUGUAAUGGUAAGGAGGGGGAGGGGAGUGCACCGGAGGUGGUGGCGGUGGUGAUUUGUAGUGGUAAUGUGGUGGUAGGGAGUGCACCGGAGGUGGUGGUGGUGGUGACUUGUAGUGAUAUGGUGGUGGUGGUGGGGAGUGCACUGGGGUAGGAGGUGGUGGAGACUUGUAGUGAUAAGGAUGGGGAGGAAAGUGCACAGGAGGUGGCGGUGGUGGUGAUUUGUAAUGAUAAGUUGGUGGUGGGAAGUGCACCGGAGGUGGUGGUGGUGGCGGUGAUUUGUAAUGGUAAAGAGGAGAGGAGAAAUGGUCGGUAGCUGCGGUUUCUAAUGGCAAGUUUAGGGACACUAAUACCACUACAAGAGUGACCAUAAGAGUGUCCAUUUUGGACCCCUUCGCUAUUCUUACCAUCUUUUUUACUACAAAU